Orcinus orca (killer whale) is the source of this 5113-nucleotide long non-coding RNA. RefSeq lists it as uncharacterized. The transcript is spliced from 4 exons. The record is from RefSeq and is a predicted model, not a curated record. NCBI's taxonomy places the organism in Eukaryota, Metazoa, Chordata, Mammalia, Artiodactyla, Delphinidae.
AGGGCUCAAACCCAUGUCCCUUGCAUUGGCAGGCGGAUUCCCAACCACUGCGCCACCAGAGAAGUCCAGGCCUGUGGCUUUAAACAACAUCUUUCUAAGAACUCUUCACUUAAUGUCACAAGUUCUGACAUCUCCCUUAAGCUUCAGACUUUUUCAACAAUCUUAUCAACAUCUUCACUUGACUAUUAAGUAGGUACCUCAGACUUACUAUGUAUAAAAUUCAACUCCUGACCUUAAGCUCAGCCACCAGCCCUGAUCACCCCCAGUCUUCCAUAUCUGAUAACAGCACCAACCAUUCCCCAAGGGGCCCAGGCUAGGAAUCAGGAGGCCACGUUUUACUCUUUCCCUCACCCCCACGACAGAUGUGUCAGCAAGUCCUUCUGGCUCUAUUUUUGGUUAAUAUCCCAAAUCUAACAAUGUCUGCUGCUUCCACCCUGUCACACCCACCAUCGUCUGCAGGCUGGAAUACUGUGGUAGCCUCUCAACAGGCCAUCUUGCUUCUAUGCUUACCCCUACUCAGUCUAUUUACUGCACAGUAGCCAGAAUGAUCAUUUUAAAAAUUACAUAAAUCAGAUCGUGGUCUCUGCCUUGCUUAAAACCCUGUGGGAGUUUCCCACCAUGCUUGGGGCAGAAUCCAUAGGCCCUGUGUGAUCUCCUAUUAAAAUCCUCCUCCCUCACUCUGAUCCAGGCCCUCCUAUUAAUCUUUGAACACAUGAAGCUCAUUUCUACCUUAGGGCCUUUGCACAGCUGUUCCCUCUGCCUGGCAUAUUCCUUCCAAAUCAGUAACAUGGCCGGCUCUGUCACUUAAUUCAAAUAUCUGCUCAGAUGAUGUCACCAACUACUAAAUCAGCCCUCUCCCUCAGGACCCCUGUAUGUUCUUUAUUCCUGUAUUUUUCUUCAUGGCACUUAUCACUACUGGAAUCAUAUUAUAUGUUUGUUUGCUUUUCUCACUCACCCAUUACAACAUUCUGUAAGAGCAAGAACUGUAUCCCCAGUGCCUAGAACAGUACCUGUAAGCAACACUCACAGAGCCUCAACAAAUAUUUGUCGAAUGAAUGAAUGGGUUGAUUAACCAAGGGUACUACUAUUCAUAAGGAGAAAUAUCUUAGAAGUAAGGCUGCCAUCCAUUGGAAGGCAAGCUGUUGGCAUAAUGCAGCUUACCAUGUUUGCCAUGCUGCUGAGGUUCCUGUGAAGUCCACUCAGGGGUUUGUUGAAGCACUUGUGGUAUCUGUAGAUAUGCCGAAGCACAGUCCCGGCCCUGCAGAAAGUUUCCUUCUCAGUUGUGUUCUAGAAAGAGAAAUUCCACAGAUAGCCACUGCUAGCUUGAUUUUGAACAUUGGAGAGAGAUGUUUCCUUCUGAUUUCUUCUUUCCAGAAGGACAAGUGGAGAAGGUAAAUUUGCUCAACCUGUGGAUCAGGUAUUCAAGUAUUCCUGCCAUGUGAAUGGAGGCUGCUUGUCACAGUAAACAACCUCUUCCAGUUACUUGCAAAUGCAGCAGCCUUUUCCUGAAACCUCCCAAUUUCUUUUCCCUUGGAGGGUUUUGCUGAAGGGGUACCUGAAUCAAGUCACUCAACUAAGUAAAUGGGAGAGUGGGGAUUUGCAUGCGGGGCCAUCUGUCUAGAACCCAUGUCUGUUUCUUUAUCCCAUGCAAGCUCUUCUUUCUGUGGAUGCAGUUGUAUGUACAUCAGCUCGUAAUCAGAGUCUGCUCUGUCUUAUUCCUGUAAUUUAUAGUUUUUGAAUCCAGGUUCCCUGGAAAUCCCACAUGUUUGUUGAAUAAAUGAAUGCCCAUCCUUUGACCUGGACAGUGCCACUUUGGCCAGCACUCUCCAUUUAACCCUCCCCAUGGGAAGUAGCAGUGUGAGGAGAUACAUGUCCCCACACAGCUAGAGGUGAGUGCCAGGAUCAGAGCUAGGUGCCCCAGGAGUGUGGCCUGGGGAGAUGAGGGGAAGCUUCUGAGAAAGGGUGCUGGGCCUUGGACAGAGUUUCUGUUAGGGGCUUCUAGCCUCGAAUGUGCAGGGUCAGAACCUCCUUGGAGUGCUGGCAGCCCUGGUGUGAGUCUGGCCACAUGGCUCUUCCUGGGGACCUUUGAGCCUCAGAAGAGGGCUUGUACAAGUGCGGAACCAGCUCUUUUUGAGAACCUGGGAGAGGGAAUGUGUCUCGGCCUGGUCAGGCCUGGUGUAUCCUCUCUCUCUCCACUGAAGAACAAAGGCCCGGAGCCUGGAGGGUGUCUUAGCUUGAGCCCAAUCCAGCUCAGAUAAACCUGUCUCCAGCCUCUGCCAGGACCUGCUCUUGUUCCUUGCCACUCAAAAUGUGGCCCAUGAAGCAGCAGCGUGGGCGUCACCUGGGAACUUGUUAGAAAUGCAGAAUCUCAGACCUCCCUCUGGACCCACUGAGUCACAAUGUGCGUUAACAGGAUCUCCAGGGGAUUUAUGUGAAAAGCACUGUCCAAGCAGCUUUCUAGGGUCUUCCGUAUUUUUUCAGAUUACCAAACUUUUUACUAUAAAAGUAAUAUACAGGGGGCUUCCCUGGUGGCUCAGUGGUUGAGAGUCCGCUUGCCGAUGCAGGGGGACACGGGUUCGAGCCUGUUCGAGCCUGUGCUCCGCAAUGGGAGAGGCCACAACAGUGAGAGGCCCGUGUACCGCAAAAAAAAAAAAAAAAAAAAGUAAUAUACAUUCAACAAAAGUGAAUUCACUCAUUAUCCCAUUAGCCAGAGAGAACUACUGUUAAGAUUUUGCUAACUAUCUCUCCAGAUUUUUUAAUACUUUUUUUUUUGCAAUAGGGACCAACUAUUGAUACUCUUUUAUAACCUUUUUACACUUAACAUAUAGUACUAGCAAUUUCUUACAUCAUUCAGUAAUAUUUAAGAACAUGUGAUUGAGAGCUGUGUAGGAACCUAGGGCAUAUUUGUGCCAUAGUUGGUCAAUCCCCUAUCACUGCAGUUUUUUGCUUCUGUAAAUAAAGUGGCAGCAAGCCAUCUGUAUAAAUCUUUGUGUUCAUCUCUUAUUUCUUUAGGCUAAAUUCUAGGAGUGCAGUUCAUAUUUUAGGGUUUUUCCAGGAAGAUCUUGACCCAGACCAAAGCGCCAGAAUCCUAGACUACGAAAGCUUCCCCUUUCCGCUGUGGAGCUUGACGGCCCAUGGGCAGGGCCUUUGGAAGGACAUGUAUGUACUUAAUGAAGUACAUGUCCUUCCAAAGGGCGUAUACUCUGGCUGGAAAUUUAAGAGCAGCACCAGUAUCUCUGGGCUCUGGGAGUCAAGAAACCUCCCAUAAAUCACCAUACCUCUGGGGGGCUUUGUGGGUGAGCAGAGGUGGCGAGGCCAAGGAGAAGGCAGACACUAGCUGAGUAUGCAGAUGGAGGCAGACGCCUAUGUUGCUGGAGAGAGAACAAUGAGGUUCAAGAAUGCCAAAAAGAGAAGAGAUCCUUUGCUUAUUUGUCCAUCAAAAUCUGAUGAGCCUUUUCUAAAACGUUGGCUAGGAGCUUAGAAAUUAUACUGUCUCAGUUUUGAGUAUGUAGCCAUUUAAGGUAGGAAAACACCCUCUAAAGAUAUUUUUCAGGGACUUCCCUGGUGGUCCAGCGGUUAAGACUUCGCCUUCCAGUGCAAGGUGUGCGGGUUCGAUCCGUGGUCGGGGAGGUAAGAUCCCACAUGCCUUGCAGCCAAAGAACCAAAACAUAAAACAGAAGCCAUAUUGUAACAAAUUCAAUAAACACUUUAAAAAUGGUCCACAUGAAAAAAUCUUUAAAAAUAACUAAAUAAAGAUAUUUUUCAAAAGACUUUCUAAAGGUGAUUAGGAUAAGUAUAGAAAAGAGUUUGAAUCAAAUGGAAAACUUUUAAAAGAAGGAAUUCUAAGGGUCUUUAACUAGUUUUAGUUAAAGUCCUUAAUGUUUUAGUUCCAUUGGCAUUGCGGCAACAGGAUGACACUCUGACCGCCCACUUUUUCGACUGCUUGUCCAGCUUUCGCUGCCUGAGUGUGUCUUGCUUAGGGCAUACCUUGAGGAGCCAUGCGGACUCUGCAGUUCAGAACUGCUCAGGAAAGAGGCUCAAAAGGGAGGCCUGGUCUCCUGCCAGAAAGAAGCCCACCCCUCAUAGGAAUACAGAAGUGGUGGCACACCAUUUGGGAGACUUUGGUGCAGGGAUUCUGCUAGAGUUCUAAUGGGUCUUGACUAGCUUCAUUUAAGGACAUACAGAUCCAUCCUAUAUGUAUUGUAUUCACUAUCUCCACUUAUGCCCAAAUUUAGUCAGCGAAUGUGAUGUAUGAAAAGAAUCCUCUACUUUCACUUUUAAAAAAAGAUUUGAGGGUUGGCAUAGAGCUCUCUGAAAAAUUAUGGACUUUUGCUCCCUUUGGUAGUAGGAAAUACCUCCAACUAAUGGUCCACCCAAGAAGUCCUUCCUAGGCCAGCCAGCUUGCUUGCUUUCCACCUUUCUCUUCCUCAGACCACCUAACUUCAGAGACACUCGGGAGGCAUUGCAUGUGGAACCCAGGAUUUAGAUCAGCACAUUCUUCCAGCAUUUGCCAAGAGCAGGAUGCCACCCAAUUUGGGCAUAAUGGACCUCUUGAUCCCCAAAAGCACUAAAAUGAAUAUGCUGGACUUUGGAAAGAUGUUCUUCUUGAGAACACAAAGAAGUAACUUUUCCUCCCACGUAGCAUCUUUGUGGGUUUUGAAAAUAACAACCUUUCUUUGUUCUGAAGUAUCUUAAUAGAUAAGUAAGCAGUGCUGAGUCUUUGAGGAAAAGAGAAGAAUGGAAAAACAAGCUUGUUAAUCCAGGAGGAAUAGAAGCAGUUCGGGAGAAGGCAUGAGAUAGUCACCUAUCUGCCAAAGCAGACCCGGGACAGCUCUUACCUUUGUGGUGGCAAAGACGUCUUCUACAGGCAGCUCCAUGCACAAGUUCUUGGCCCAGGCAGGAACGAGAGAGCAAGAGACACAGUUACCUCCAACUGCACAGGUCUAAGAAAUAUGCACAGCAUCACCAGAACAUCUGGAGAGAUGGUACCAGAUAGCUUACCUUUCUUGCUGUGAGGAUGUUCAGCGUUUUGAUGAUCUCUUGUAAGGUUGUCAGUCAUGUGGGACCAAUCAGCGCCUCUCUUCCAGGAGAAAAAAUGCCUCACAAAAACAGG